UCUCACGGCGCAGUUCAUCCGCUGCACGGCAGAUGGCCGCGAAGUCAUCACCACGCGCCCGAAACAGACGGACGAUUUCUGCUUCGCCCAGCGUGACUCCGCGCUGCGCUUUCGCCAACACCUGUCCAAGGUUCGCGGAUGGUGUGGCCGAGGGCGCUCUUUGAAUCCAGCCGAGUUCACGUGAAGGCAAUUGCCCGACGUGGCCGGGGCACC
RNAcentral lists this unclassified non-coding RNA (213 nucleotides) under Hevea brasiliensis (rubber tree). The record is from RNAcentral. Lineage: Eukaryota; Viridiplantae; Streptophyta; Magnoliopsida; Malpighiales; Euphorbiaceae.